This 253-nucleotide ribosomal RNA is filed under the name uncultured bacterium. Its description in RNAcentral is "partial 16S ribosomal RNA". It matches the Rfam family "Bacterial small subunit ribosomal RNA", at positions 524 to 776 of the family's 1533-position model. The record is from RNAcentral.
UACGUAGGGGGCAAGCGUUGUCCGGAAUCAUUGGGCGUAAAGCGCGUGUAGGCGGCUUGAUAAGUCCGCUCUGAAAGCCCGGGGCUCAACCCCGGGAGGCGGGUGGCUACUGUUGAGCUUGAGUCCGGAAGAGGCGAGUGGAAUUCCCGGUGUAGCGGUGAAAUGCGCAGAUAUCGGGAGGAACACCAACGGCGAAGGCAGCUUGCUGGGACGGUACUGACGCUGAGAUGCGAAAGCGUGGGGAGCAAACAGG